UGGGGAAUAUUGCACAAUGGAGGGAACUCUGAUGCAGCGACGCCGCGUGAGUGAUGAAGGAAUUCGUUUCGUAAAACUCUGUUCUAUGGGAAGAAAAGGACUGUACCAUAGGAGAAAGCUCCGGCUAAAUACGUGCCAGCAGCCGCGGUAAUACGUAUGGAGCGAGCGUUGUCCGGAAUUAUUGGGCGUAAAGGGUGCGCAGGCGUCUUUACAAGUUGGAUGUGAAAUAUUGUGGCUCAACCACAAACGUGCAUCCAAAACUGCAAAGCUUGAGUUCCGGAGACGUCAGUGGAAUUCCUGGUGUAGCGUUGGAAUGCGUAGAUAUCAGGAGGACUACCUGUGGCGAAGGCGUCUUACUGCACUUAAACUGACGCUCAGGCCCGACAGCGUGGGGAGCAAACAGG
This 404-nucleotide ribosomal RNA is filed under the name Fusobacteriota bacterium. Its description in RNAcentral is "Fusobacteria bacterium partial 16S ribosomal RNA". It matches the Rfam family "Bacterial small subunit ribosomal RNA", at positions 355 to 776 of the family's 1533-position model. Lineage: Bacteria; Fusobacteriati; Fusobacteriota. The record is from RNAcentral.